AGCAGCCGCGGUAAUUCCAGCUCCAAUAGCGUAUAUUAAAGUUGUUGCAGUUAAAAAGCUCGUAGUUGAAUUUCGAGAUCAGAUUGUUGGUCGUGCCUUGGUACGCACUGGCAUUAUUGGUUUCUCCCUUCUGACGAACCAUGAUGUCAUUAAUUUGGUGUCUUGGGGAAUCAGGACUGUUACUUUGAAAAAUUAGAGUGUUUAAAGCAGGCUCACGCUUGAAUACAUUAGCAUGGAAUAAUGAAAUAGGACGUUUGAUUCUAUUUUGUUGGUUUCUAGGAUCGACGUAAUGAUUAAUAGGGAUAGUUGGGGGCAUUAGUAUUCAAUUGUCAGAGGUGAAAUUCUUGGAUUUAUUGAAGACUAACUACUGCGAAAGCAUUUGCCAAGGAUGUUUUCAUUAAUCAAGAACGAAAGUUAGGGGAUCGAAGACGAUCAGAUACCGUCGUAGUCUUAACC
This 456-nucleotide ribosomal RNA is filed under the name uncultured Glomus. Its description in RNAcentral is "SSU rRNA". It matches the Rfam family "Eukaryotic small subunit ribosomal RNA", at positions 569 to 1031 of the family's 1831-position model. Lineage: Eukaryota; Fungi; Glomeromycota; Glomeromycetes; Glomerales; Glomeraceae. The record is from RNAcentral.